UAACGCUUGACGGGGUGCCGGUGGAUGCCGGCUGAGAUCGCGCCAGGGCCACAGGCCCCAGCGCGGGUCCCGCCGAACCUGAUCCGGGUGAAGCCUGAACGUGUGAUCACGUCAUGGCCUGUACCGGCGUAGGGAUCAAGCGGCGCCCCCGC
Molecule: non-coding RNA, 152 nt
Filed under: Halotalea alkalilenta
Lineage: Bacteria; Pseudomonadati; Pseudomonadota; Gammaproteobacteria; Oceanospirillales; Halomonadaceae
Description: TPP sequence
Rfam family: TPP riboswitch aptamer (THI element)
About the family: Vitamin B(1) in its active form thiamin pyrophosphate (TPP) is an essential coenzyme that is synthesised by coupling of pyrimidine and thiazole moieties in bacteria.
Source: Rfam by way of RNAcentral